UACAGAGGGUGCAAGCGUUAAUCGGAAUUACUGGGCGUAAAGCGUGCGCAGGCGGUGAUGUAAGACAGAUGUGAAAUCCCCGGGCUCAACCUGGGAACUGCAUUUGUGACUGCAUCGCUAGAGUACGGCAGAGGGGGAUGGAAUUCCGCGUGUAGCAGUGAAAUGCGUAGAUAUGCGGAGGAACACCGAUGGCGAAGGCAAUCCCCUGGGCCUGUACUGACGCUCAUGCACGAAAGCGUGGGGAGCAAACAGG
RNAcentral lists this ribosomal RNA (253 nucleotides) under uncultured bacterium. RNAcentral describes it as "partial 16S ribosomal RNA". It matches the Rfam family "Bacterial small subunit ribosomal RNA", at positions 524 to 776 of the family's 1533-position model. The record is from RNAcentral.